AACGAACGCUGGCGGCAUGCCUAACACAUGCAAGUCGAACGAGACCUUCGGGUCUAGUGGCGCACGGGUGCGUAACGCGUGGGAACCUGCCCUUAGGUUCGGAAUAACUCCCCGAAAGGGGUGCUAAUACCGGAUAAUGUCUUCGGACCAAAGAUUUAUCGCCUUUGGAUGGGCCCGCGUUGGAUUAGCUAGUUGGUAGGGUAAAAGCCUACCAAGGCGACGAUCCAUAGCUGGUCUGAGAGGAUGAUCAGCCACACUGGGACUGAGACACGGCCCAGACUCCUACGGAAGGCAGCAGUGGGGAAUAUUGGACAAUGGGCGAAAGCCUGAGGCAGCAAUGCCGCGUGAGUGAUGAAGGCCUUAGGGUUGUAAAGCUCUUUUACCCGGGAUGAUAAUGACAGUACCGGGAGAAUAAGCUCCGGCUAACUCCGU
Molecule: ribosomal RNA, 432 nt
Filed under: uncultured bacterium
Lineage: Bacteria
Description: partial 16S ribosomal RNA
Rfam family: Bacterial small subunit ribosomal RNA
Source: RNAcentral